UACGGAGGGUGCGAGCGUUAAUCGGAAUUACUGGGCGUAAAGAGUGCGUAGGUGGUUAAUUAAGUUAUCUGUGAAAUCCCUGGGCUCAACCUGGGCAGGUCAGAUAAUACUGUUUAACUCGAGUAUGGGAGAGGGUAGUGGAAUUUCCGGUGUAGCGGUGAAAUGCGUAGAGAUCGGAAGGAACACCAGUGGCGAAGGCGGCUACCUGGCCUAAUACUGACACUGAGGCACGAAAGCGUGGGGAGCAAACAGG
RNAcentral lists this ribosomal RNA (253 nucleotides) under uncultured Legionella sp. Its description in RNAcentral is "partial 16S ribosomal RNA". It matches the Rfam family "Bacterial small subunit ribosomal RNA", at positions 524 to 776 of the family's 1533-position model. Lineage: Bacteria; Pseudomonadati; Pseudomonadota; Gammaproteobacteria; Legionellales; Legionellaceae. The record is from RNAcentral.